Glossina fuscipes is the source of this 1365-nucleotide long non-coding RNA. RefSeq lists it as uncharacterized. NCBI's taxonomy places the organism in Eukaryota, Metazoa, Arthropoda, Insecta, Diptera, Glossinidae. The transcript has 3 exons. The record is from RefSeq and is a predicted model, not a curated record.
AUUUAAUGUAUAUAAAAACAUAAAUAUAAGAUAAAUCCUAUAAAUUUAUAGAUUAAUUUUUCGAGCCCGGGAAUAUAAGCGUGUCCUCGUUAUAAUUACUACCUCACCUUAUUGACACAUUGAAGCUUCGCUUUGUUUAUAGGCCUGUCACAAAUUAUGUGUGGUGUUGACUAUAUAUCAUUUUCGAGUUUCGAUCAUUUUAGCUAUGUUCCCAACGGGCAUUAACACAAUCCCUGCCGCUUUGCGUUAGUUUGGUUUUUCUGAGUUAGUAUUGUUUGUUUAGUGCUGCAUUUGUAAGAGAAAAGAGCUGAAAAUUGGAAAUAAAAUAAAUUGCGAACAAAAUUGUUAAUUUACAAACAGUUGAACCAAACCUUUGCUUUUCCCUCCAAUUGUCUAAUUAAUAUACUUAAUUCGCCAAACCUAGUAAUCAAUUCUGCAUCGUCAGUCUUUCCGUACAUCAUUCUAUAAGGUCGCUAUCAUUAAUAAACCCAAACGAAGCAACGAAUAAUAGAACACCAUCUGUCGUCUGGAUAUAUUGGUCUUAUCGCCAAUUGGUCUAAUCCAUUUUACCAAACCAAGCAAAAAGAGAAGAAGAGGAUCAUCGAGAUGUGUCGAAAAGUAAUCUUUUAAGACGUAGAACGGCUCUUCGUCCUUUUACAUUACCCGAAAAUAUGCAAGUAAAAGGUUUUAUACUUUUGUCAAUAACUUCAAUAUACAUAAACAUACAACAAAUUAAAAUGCACAUAAACAUAUUGUUAUAUGUAGACUUCUGCGAAGUUCUCUGUUGUCAAAAGGGGCUUUCAAAUACGUUUUCGGAAAAUUGCUGUAGUCUGGAGACUAUCAAUGGCAAUGGUGUAUCGAUUUUUACCUAAGUGUUGCACAGAGCACCAUUUCUGUUGUUGUAUCAGAAAUAAGACAAGAAAUGGAAAAAAACUUUACACAGAAUGGAUUCGUUGGGAUACUUGCACCAACACAAAGAAGUGAUUGAAUAGGAAAUUGGGUGUUCCUGAUGGUUUUUUGACUUAACACAAUGAUGCGUUAUUCCAUUUUUCGGGCUAAUUAGCUUCACUUGGUAAGCAGAGAAACGUCGUUGCGAAUUAUUUUAUAAAAAAAAAAUAAGGAGAUCAAUGUAAAUUAAACCAAAACAUAUGGUUUGAGAAGCAAAGCUGAAAAAAUCAACAUAACUGUAAACAACGCUUAUGUGAAGAAAGACGAUAGGAAAAUUAACGUAAAAGCAAAUUAAAUUUAAAAGAAUUACUUUGAGCUUGGAGGUAGACUUUACUGACCACCACAAAUGUACUGGUUAGUGUUUUGAUUUGACAAAUAUAUUUUUUACUUGCUUUUUCUUUUACUUAUCCAACAAUA